Molecule: ribosomal RNA, 428 nt
Filed under: uncultured bacterium
Lineage: Bacteria
Description: partial 16S ribosomal RNA
Rfam family: Bacterial small subunit ribosomal RNA
Source: RNAcentral
GUAGGGAAUAUUGCGCAAUGGGGGAAACCCUGACGCAGCGACGCCGCGUGAGUGAUGAAGGCCUUCGGGUCGUAAAGCUCUGUUGCAGGGGAAUAAAAAAAUGAAGGUACCCUGUGAGGAAGGAUCGGCUAACUUCGUGCCAGCAGCCGCGGUAAGACGAGGGAUCCUAGCGUUGCUCGGAAUCAUUGGGCGUAAAGAGGGCGUAGGUGGCUUGGUAAGUCAGGUGUGAAAGCCCAGGGCUCAACCCUGGAAGUGCAUUUGAUACUGCUGAGCUUGAGUGUCGGAGAGGUUACCGGAAUACCUGGUGUAGCGGUGAAAUACGUAGAUAUCAGGUGGAACACCGGAGGCGAAGGCGGGUAACUGGACGAACACUGACACUGAGGCCCGAAAGCGUGGGGAGCAAACAGGAUUAGAUACCCCGGUAGUCC